CGCACAUCGCGGCCCCAUGAUCUCUGCAAAGAUUUGUUCCCUAGCUUGGGGAAGUUUAAAAACCUGAAGAAGCUCACAGAAGCCACGAAACCUCCCCCUUCGAACGCCACGAAACUCCUUAAGGCUAGCCCUACGAAGUCCCAGCCGCGGAGCACCCUGGUAGUAGGACCACCGAUCACGUCCCCAGGCCCCAGGUAGGGGAGCUGGGGCACUGCUGGCACUUCGUCGGGGACCUGGGAACCAAGGGCAGCUUGGGUGAGAGCAAGAGGAAGCUCCUGGGGGCAGGGGUGGAGGGAGAUAGCAGGGCCCAGGGGACUUCCUUCUCCAGGAUGGGCCUUGACCUCCAGGCACCUGGCUCAGAUGUCACCGCCCACCGACCACUUUACAUUGUGAGAGGGGCCUCAACUCCUCAGCGAGAGCAAUAAAAAAAU
Molecule: long non-coding RNA, 431 nt
Filed under: Marmota monax (woodchuck)
Lineage: Eukaryota; Metazoa; Chordata; Mammalia; Rodentia; Sciuridae
Source: RNAcentral